Girardinichthys multiradiatus is the source of this 448-nucleotide non-coding RNA. Lineage: Eukaryota; Metazoa; Chordata; Actinopteri; Cyprinodontiformes; Goodeidae. The record is from the annotation of a RefSeq genome assembly.
GAGCUCUACUCUAAGAGGUUUUGUGUUGGAGCUGAAGAGCUGCUGUGUUCUCUCUGUUCUUCAGUUAGUACGAGUGAAAAUAAUGUUCCUGCUUUUCUUCUGGAUGAUGAUGAUCAUCUCCUUUCAACCAGGAUCCUCUGAGGAUUUACUGACAUCAUUUAAAGAUGUUCUUCUGGGUUUGGAAGGAGACACUGUGACUCUGUCCUGCAACUAUUCAGGAACCACACAGAUGCUGUUCUGGUACCAACAGAUGUCCAGUUCAUCUCCACAGCUGGUCACCUCAGGAAAUUCAGACACAACAGGAAGGUUGUCUUUGAAACAUGAAAAACCAACAAAGAAGUUUCAUCUGCUGAUCUCCUCUGCUGCAUUGACAGAUUCUGCUGUGUACUACUGUGCUGUGAGGCCCACAGUGACAGGAAACACCAGAACUCUGUACAAAAACCUGCAG